Molecule: non-coding RNA, 78 nt
Filed under: Hoeflea sp.
Lineage: Bacteria; Pseudomonadati; Pseudomonadota; Alphaproteobacteria; Hyphomicrobiales; Rhizobiaceae
Source: RNAcentral
GAUUGCGUUUGUGGUGAUUUGGCCGGCCGGCUUGCAGCCACGUUAAACAACUUGCUAAAGGGCCGACGGGAUUGCUUC